This 829-nucleotide long non-coding RNA is filed under the name Gouania willdenowi (blunt-snouted clingfish). RNAcentral describes it as "lncRNA (ENSGWIG00000020787.1)". Lineage: Eukaryota; Metazoa; Chordata; Actinopteri; Blenniiformes; Gobiesocidae. The record is from RNAcentral.
AACUAUGAUAAAAUGUUUAGUCAACUAAAUGAACAGUAUGAAGUGCAAACCUCCAUCAAGCUCUGAACCUCCUCUUCACAGAUAUGAUCAGUUAUCAAUGAUCAAUGAUCCUGAUCAUGGUACCAUGAUCAUUAACACUUUAAAGGCUUGGAACCACAUUUAUAUCUCAUUAAUAAACAUCCAGUAGGUCACAAUGUAUGGACACACUUUAAAAAAAAAGAAAAUAAAUCAAUGAAAUGCGUAAUCUGGAUCUGAUCAGGAUGAAACUCAGUGGGAUCAUUGAUUAACCACCCAAUAUAACUGAGUCACAUUUUAUACAGAUCCAUCAAUUACAAACCCAGAUAUGAAUUAUUAUGAUGAUGAGAGAUAGACAUUUUUUAUCUUUGAAACUGAUCAGAAUCAGUUCAUUGAUCAGGAGUCCCUCUGGCAGCAGAAAUCUUUCCUCCUUGGUGGAGGUAAUAAAGCAGAUGAAGUGUACGGCAGAGGUUUGAAACUUGUCAAUAAUGUGAUGAUUAUUAUUAUUAUUAAUAAAUUAAUGUCUUUCUCCCACAGACUGAGUUUCUGUGGUCUCUCAGAGAGAAGCUGUGCAGCUCUGUCCUCAGUCCUCAGCUCUCAGUCCUCCAGUGUGAAACAUCUGGACCUGAGUAACAAUUAUCUGCAGGAUUCAGGAGUGAAGUUGCUGUGUGAAGGACUGAAGAGUCCUCACUGUAAACUGGACUCUCUCAGAUGAAGGUCAAUCAGCAGCAGCAUUCAGCUGAGAUCAACUGUGCACCACGUGGAGGAGAGAUUAAAAUAUCAUCAGAUAAAACACAACCAGACAUUCACCAUU